GCGACCCCAGGUCACGCGGGGCCACCCGCUGAGUU
RNAcentral lists this ribosomal RNA (35 nucleotides) under Platanus mexicana var. interior. RNAcentral's name for it is "partial 25S ribosomal RNA". Lineage: Eukaryota; Viridiplantae; Streptophyta; Magnoliopsida; Proteales; Platanaceae. The record is from RNAcentral.